CACAUCAGCUUAGUAUUGUUUGAAUAAUAUUUGAGUUGGUCAUACAUGCAAAGGAUAUAUCUGUAUUAUAUACUGGUGUAUUAGGUCCAUAUUUAUAUCAAGGAAAGUUCAGGAUACAAAGUAUUUGAAGGAAACUAGUGUAUCAAGUCCAUAUUUACAUCAUAAUCAAUCAUUUAAGGUUACAACAGCAUUGGGUUUCAUUUUAGGAUACUACAGUAUCAGGUCCAUAUUUACAUCAAAGAAUACACAAGAUACAAUAUUUGAGAGAUACUACUGUAUCAGGUCCAUAUUUACAU
Haliotis rubra (blacklip abalone) is the source of this 296-nucleotide long non-coding RNA. RefSeq lists it as uncharacterized. The record is from RefSeq and is a predicted model, not a curated record. The transcript has 2 exons. Lineage: Eukaryota; Metazoa; Mollusca; Gastropoda; Lepetellida; Haliotidae.